GCACUCACUUCAGCAGCACAUAUACUAAAAUUAGAACGAUACAGAGAAGAUUAGCAUGGCCCCUGUGCAAGGAUGAUAUGCAAAUUUGCAAAGCAUUCCACAGUUUA
This is a small nuclear RNA of Fukomys damarensis (Damara mole-rat), 107 nucleotides long. Lineage: Eukaryota; Metazoa; Chordata; Mammalia; Rodentia; Bathyergidae. The record is from Ensembl.